RNAcentral lists this ribosomal RNA (253 nucleotides) under uncultured bacterium. RNAcentral's name for it is "partial 16S ribosomal RNA". It matches the Rfam family "Bacterial small subunit ribosomal RNA", at positions 524 to 776 of the family's 1533-position model. The record is from RNAcentral.
UACGGAGGGUCCAAGCGUUAUCCGGAAUCAUUGGGUUUAAAGGGUCCGUAGGCGGUUUUGUAAGUCAGUGGUGAAAGCCCAUCGCUCAACGGUGGAACGGCCAUUGAUACUGCAAGACUUGAAUUAUUGGGAAGCAACUAGAAUAUGUAGUGUAGCGGUGAAAUGCUUAGAUAUUACAUGGAAUACCAAUUGCGAAGGCAGGUUGCUACCAAUACAUUGACGCUGAUGGACGAAAGCGUGGGGAGCGGACAGG